Molecule: RNA transcript, 4613 nt
Organism: Oncorhynchus kisutch (coho salmon)
Lineage: Eukaryota; Metazoa; Chordata; Actinopteri; Salmoniformes; Salmonidae
Gene name: RNA-binding motif, single-stranded-interacting protein 1-like
Exons: 12
Source: RefSeq, a predicted model, not a curated record
AAUAUUAAUACUAACCGUACUCAAUAAGAAGGUUAUUUGAUUAUAUCUUGAAACGCACCUCUAUAGUAUGCGCAAUGGUUUGGUCUGUAGUAGGUGGGACUCAUGAGUGGUCAGCAGGACGUCGUAGAUCAAUGAACUGAACUGAGUUUUGAUGCCUGGGUUGGACGACACUUUGGUGGGAUUAAACCAUAUAACCUACGCAGUGUAGCCUAUGUUAGGUAGCCUACGGAUGUGACAACGCGACAAGGACAUUUGAAUCAGGAUCGAAAACGGAGUUUAUUUCAAACCCGGUCGAUAUGCGGAUUCUUUCCAAAUAAAACCCACUGGCUUUUAAUAAACGGGUCUGCAUGUAGCUGAAUUUUUGUGGGGAAACAAGCUUUUUUUUUAUCUCGGAAUAACUGGAAUAGGCUAUCCAGGAUGAUCUUUGCAAACACUGCCAACCCGUUGAAGAGCACAUAUCGGAAGCAGUCGUACCCCAUGGCUCCAGCCAGCCCCAGCACGGUGAGCACCAGCAGCAACAGCAGCACCACAGGAUGGGACCAGCUCAGCAAAACGAACCUGUACAUCCGCGGCCUGCCUCCAGCAACCACUGACCUGGACCUGGUCAAGCUCUGCCAGCCAUACGGCAAGAUCGUGUCGGCAAAGGCCAUCCUCGAUAAAACAACUAACAAAUGUAAAGGGUAUGGAUUUGUGGACUUUGACAGCCCUGCAGCAGCCCAGAAGACGGUCCAUGCCCUAAAGACCAGUGGGAUACAAGCCCAGAUGGCUAAGCAACAGGAGCAGGACCCCACCAACCUGUACAUCUCCAACCUGCCUGUGUCUGUAGACGAGCAGGAGCUAGAGGGGCUGCUGAGGCCUUUUGGACAGGUCAUCUCCACCCGCGUCCUCAGAGACUACAGCGGGGCCAGCAGAGGGGUCGGCUUCGCCAGGAUGGAGUCCAAGGAGAUGUGUAACUCAGCUAUAGCCCACUUCAAUGGGAAGUUUAUCAAGACGGCGCCUGGAACUAUGGCUCCCUCUGAGCCCCUGCUGUGUAAGUUUGCCGAUGGUCAGAGGAAGAGGCACAGCCACAGUCCAUACAUCCCCAGCGGUCGCACUUGGCCCCGAGAGGGAGAGCUCAGACUUGGCGGGAUGACUCUCACCUACGACCCCACCUCAGCUGCUAUGCAGAACGGCUAUUAUGCCUCUCCCUACACCCUAACGGCCAAUAGAAUGAUGGCUCAGCAAGCCAUGUCUCCCUACAUGUCUCCUGUCACCUCCUACCAGGUACAGAAUCCUUCCUGGAUGGCCCACCAGCCUUACAUCAUGCAACACCCACAGGCAGUAAUGUCGCCCUCUGUGGACCACACCAUGACAAUGCAGCCCACCGCCGUCAUGACACAGCAGAUGGGCCAUCUCUCAUUGGGCAGCAGUGGAGCGUAUAUUUCAGCCAACGCUGCAGUCCAGGCAGCCUAUAUUCCUCAGUACGCCCACAUGCAGCAGACAGCCGUAAGUUCCGAGGUUCGUCCUUGCCAUCUCAUUGUGUUGAUCUCCUCUCAUUCAUCCAUGUCUCAUCAUGAGUACAGCCAUUUUACAUCAAUUAUGACAUCCCAUACCAUUACUUACUUGAUGGUGCUAAUACCAGAUAUUAAGAUGUGAAGUUACACAGUUUUUCCCUCUUCAGGAAAAUGGUUCACAGCAACAAGUGGAUUCGUCCAAUAAUUCGUCUCCCUACAGUCAACAGAGCAAGUAACGAUAAGGUGACUUCUGUGAGCAGUAAUGGAUGCCUUGGGCGCUGACUCAUGAUGUCACAGUCACAGCCUCUCCUGAUUGGACCAGACCAGACUUCAGUAAGAACUCUUUUGCACAGCUUCAACCAAACAACUGUGUAUGAUGGAACCAACAGCAAUGAUACUAUGGUGUGUAAAACGAAGACAGAGGUGUAAAAAUGGACAAAACCAACAAUUAUCCCCCCCCCCUUCAAAACAGGAAGAAAUGUUUUAUUUUGAUAAACGAAAAGACGUGUAUUUUUUACCACGGAUUCUCCAAGUGGAUGCAAUGGGACAAGUAGCCUACAGCGUGAUGUUAAAAGAUGCAUGAGAUUGAUUCUUUUUUUUGUGGAAUCUGUUGACUUAAGGAAAAAGAGAUUUCCAAUGGGUUUUAUAGGUAGUUUAUGAGCCAAGAUAUAUGAUGAAAAAAAAUGUUGCUUGCAAAAAGUGUUCAUUUGGUGAGGUGUUACUGGUUUUUAUUUUUGGUCUUUAUAAGAUAUUAUCAUUCAAUUAGGCUUCUAGGGUUAAUGUCUGACAUGAUUUUCUGUAUCAGAUUAAAUAUGUAGAAUUGGCCGUUUGGCAGCUGUCAAUCAAUCUAUGAAUAGAGAACUGAUAGAGAAGCUAAAGAAGCAAAUGUUUUGCCAAAUAGAUGAUGGGUUGGAUAAUGUGCCUUCCGCUAACAUCAUAACAGUCAUUUUUCAUAGCCUGGCAGAAACCGAACUGAUUCCCUGACGUUUCACUGUUUCACUUCAUGGUGAUCACAGUAUUCAGUCUGGUCUAACCAGGCUACAUUAAAAAGAACAGCCACUCUUAAUUAGAACUCCUGUCAGUCCAUAGUAAGGUCUCUUUAGACUUUGACAGCGUAGGUGUCUUGUUUUGUCAUAUUUCACACACAGCCAAGGAUCUUGACCUCCAUCAAAUGCUACACCUACUGAUCUCAUCUCCCUAAUUAAGACAAUAUAGCCUACAAUUGAAAUAAAAAACACAAAUAGAUUUAAAAGAAAUGCAAGCUUGAAAUUGUGAGGUAACGUCAAGGCGGCUGGGUUUUUUUCUCUGCUAUUUUUUACUUCAACAGACACAGUAAUAUUAAUAGAAAAUGCCUAACUUUAAUGAUGAAAUUACAAUCUGUUUUUACUUUACGCUAAAUUGACGUGGUUGUCUUUAAAGAUUUUUUAUUUUUUUGCUCUAAUGGUCAUCUUGACCAUGUGUGGUCAUGUGUGACUGGUUUUAUCUACCUCAGAGUUCUGUCUGGGCUGGUAUGGCUGGGUUUGCAGGUCCAGCCCGCCUCACCAGAGAAGAACACAAAAGCGACGGACCAAAUCGCACCAUUUUCCUUAUGUAGUGCAUUACUUUUGACCCAUAGGCUUUUCACAUAGGGCUAUGUUCAAAACAUAGACUUAGAUAGACAUCACAUCAUUGUAUUUAUCCCAUUAUGGCAUCUGUGAGAGCACGGGCAGCUCCAUUGAAGCCAUCUCCAUUUUGAAGUGCAUUUAUUCUACUACUUCUGAGUUGGUAAACAAACUGAAAGGGUGCCCACUGCCAUCUGUGUUGUUUGAACAGGUAUAAAGAUAAGGUUGGUGAUAUACUGCCACCUGUAGUUAUGGAAUAUUUACUCACAAUUAUAAUUCAUUGGCUGAUACCUCGUGGUGACCUGGAUGGAAUUAUGUGAUCCUUCCUUAAAGGGAUACUUUGGGAUUUUGUCAGUGAUGCCCUUUAUCUACUAGCAUGCUAGCAGAUACCCAUAGACUUCCAGUCAUUGCCAUAACACUAGUUAGCAUUGGCUCGCGAAACUACCUCUAACUUCAAUGUUACUGGACACAGAAACAUAAAAAUGGUAUCCACAAAUUCAUUUGACUCUGGAGAAGUAGAUAAAGGGCCUCAUUGCCAAAAUCCUGAAGUAUCCCUUUAACCCAUUGGAAGUCCCACCCAGUUGACUACUUCAAAAUGUUGAAAGUCCUCGAUGGCGCUGCCAAGCCAAUAGGCUUCUGGGCACUAGAGUCCUCUAUGUAUCUCUAUGGGUCAAAAGCGUUGCACUCUAAAGGAAAUAGGAUGCGAUUUGGAAUGCACCCAAAGCCAAGCUCAGGAGCUGGCCAAUAGCAAUUUUUACAAUUCUUCCUCCUACUACUCUGUCCUCAAAUAAAGAAACAUUCUGUUUUGUUUAGUAUAGUAUCAUGCUGAAUCUUGUUUUUGUUGUGUUUUUCCGAUAUGAACAUUAUUACAGGUAGAAUAUGGUUUUAGCUUUAGUUUUGGAGUCUCUUAAAAGAAAAACCAAGUGCUGCUUGUCGAACAGACGUUCCAAUAGGCUGGGGAAUGAGGCGAUUCUUUUUAUUUUUUAUAUUAGAGGAAUGCAAACCCACCACGUGGUAGUGUAGGCGGCUAGACUUGAUCUAUUCUUCCCUUGAAACACACACACACACACACACCUUCGUUGUAUGGGACUUUGUGUUGGCAGUUAAUGUGGUGAGGGGGGGGGGUUGCAGAAGUCUGAAAGAUGGAAGUUUAAAUUGCAACCAUACUAUUUGUAGUCUUGCAUAGCUAGCGAUGUCUGAACCAAGUGCAAUUCUGUGUCUGGAUCAAUAGGCUAGUUGUACAGCAAAUUCCACCAACACUUGUGUGAUAAUAGACUGGCUGAUGAUGAUAAAUAAAAUGAAAUAGUAGUAAUUUAUGCAGAAAGAUAGAUUUGUUUGUUUUACAUGUCCGGGUGAUGAUGCUGCUGUGUAUCAUCAGUUAGAAAAAGAAAAAUAGGCUCAUUUUGUAUUUUUGUUUCUUUGUGUAUGUUACAGUUUCACCAGAUUGUUCUACCAAUCUUAUCCUUGUGCUUUCCUUUAUAAAAACAUUUGAAUAAAAACCCACCAUGAAUCAGCCCUA